Pelobates cultripes (western spadefoot toad) is the source of this 291-nucleotide non-coding RNA. NCBI's taxonomy places the organism in Eukaryota, Metazoa, Chordata, Amphibia, Anura, Pelobatidae. The record is from the annotation of a GenBank genome assembly.
GCAUAGUUGAGUGUGUGCCGCCCAUGUGAUUGACAUAGCGAACUGUUGAGAUGUUGUCCAUGCGCAGUCUGAUGCACGCACUGGCGGUCCCAUUCACAAAGCUCCAGAUCGCGAAGGAGCUGGCCAGGAGUUCAACAUGGCAUUGAUGUGGAGCCGGGAUUCGGCCUCUGACCAGCGACCCCAACCGUGGAGACUUGUGUCCGAAUCCACCGUGAAUUCCGGUUGUGAACCGAAGAUGGUCUUGCCAUUCCAAGCGGAUAGGUUUUGGAUCCACCAGAUCAGUUUGUCUCG